UUUAUGGAGAGUUUGAUCCUGGCUCAGAACGAACGCUGGCGGCGUGCUUAAUACAUGCAAGUCGAACGAGAAAGGCUGGCUUCGGCCGGCCCGGUAAAGUGGCGAACGGGUGAGUAACACGUGGGCAAUCUACCCUCGAAUCUGGGAUAAUCCUUCGAAAGGAGGUCUAAUACCGGAUAAGACCACAAGGUGGCAUCAUCAAGUGGUCAAAGGCGGAGCAAUCUGCCGUUUGAGGAUGAGCCCGCGCCCCAUUAGCUUGUUGGUGAGGUAACGGCUCACCAAGGCUGCGAUGGGUAGCCGGCUUGAGAGAGUGAUCGGCCACACUGGGACUGAGAUACGGCCCAGACUCCUACGGGAGGCAGCAGUAGGGAAUAUUGCGCAAUGGACGAAAGUCUGACGCAGCAACGCCGCGUGCGGGAUGAAGCUUCUUGGAGUGUAAACCGCUGUCAGAAGGGACGAAUGGCUAUGAUUCCAAUACAAUCAUAGUUUGACGG
RNAcentral lists this ribosomal RNA (494 nucleotides) under Candidatus Zixiibacteriota bacterium. RNAcentral describes it as "bacterial SSU rRNA". It matches the Rfam family "Bacterial small subunit ribosomal RNA", at positions 1 to 475 of the family's 1533-position model. The record is from RNAcentral. Lineage: Bacteria; Pseudomonadati; Candidatus Zixiibacteriota.